UGCUUUACACAUGCAAGUCGAACGGAUUAAAGAGCUUGCUCUUUAGUUAGUGGCGAACGGGUGAGUAAUAUAUCGGAACAUAUCCGGAAGUGGGGGAUAACGUAGCGAAAGCUACGCUAAUACCGCAUACGAUCUAUGGAUGAAAGCGGGGGAUCGCAAGACCUCGCGCGAUUGGAGCGGCCGAUAUCAGAUUAGGUAGUUGGUGAGGUAAAGGCUCACCAAGCCGACGAUCCCUAGCUGGUCUGAGAGGACGACCAGCCACACUGGGACUGAGACACGGCCCAGACUCCUACGGGAGGCAGCAGUGGGGAAUUUUGGACAAUGGGCGCAAGCCUGAUCCAGCAAUGCCGCGUGCAGGAUGAAGGCCUUCGGGUUGUAAACUAC
RNAcentral lists this ribosomal RNA (384 nucleotides) under uncultured organism. Its description in RNAcentral is "bacterial SSU rRNA". It matches the Rfam family "Bacterial small subunit ribosomal RNA", at positions 45 to 433 of the family's 1533-position model. The record is from RNAcentral.